ACCGCGAUAGCUGAGCUGGUGGAGCAUCCGCCCGGUAUGCGGAGGAUCACCGGUUCGAUUCCGGUUUGCGGCG
Molecule: transfer RNA, 73 nt
Filed under: Fasciola hepatica (liver fluke)
Lineage: Eukaryota; Metazoa; Platyhelminthes; Trematoda; Plagiorchiida; Fasciolidae
Rfam family: tRNA
About the family: Transfer RNA (tRNA) molecules are approximately 80 nucleotides in length. Their secondary structure includes four short double-helical elements and three loops (D, anti-codon, and T loops).
Source: Rfam by way of RNAcentral